AACGAACGCUGGCGGCAGGCUUAACACAUGCAAGUCGAACGCAUCCUUCGGGGUGAGUGGCAGACGGGUGAGUAACGCGUGGGAACGUGCCCUUCAGUUCGGGAUAACCCAGGGAAACUUGGGCUAAUACCGGAUACGUGCGAGAGCAGAAAGAUUUAUCGCUGAAGGAUCGGCCCGCGUCUGAUUAGCUAGUUGGUGGGGUAAUGGCCCACCAAGGCGACGAUCAGUAGCUGGUCUGAGAGGAUGAUCAGCCACAUUGGGACUGAGACACGGCCCAAACUCCUACGGGAGGCAGCAGUGGGGAAUAUUGGACAAUGGGCGCAAGCCUGAUCCAGCUAUGCCGCGUGAGUGAUGAAGGCCUUAGGGUUGUAAAGCUCUUUCGUCCGGGACGAUAAUGUCGGUACCGGAAGAAGAAGCCCCGGCUAACUUCGUGCCAGCCGCCGCAGUAA
RNAcentral lists this ribosomal RNA (449 nucleotides) under uncultured bacterium. RNAcentral's name for it is "partial 16S ribosomal RNA". It matches the Rfam family "Bacterial small subunit ribosomal RNA", at positions 29 to 523 of the family's 1533-position model. The record is from RNAcentral.